CUAACUAUUUAAGAUAUAGAGUCAGAAAAUAGUUCAGAUUGGGAGGGAUCUCUGAAGACCAUCCUGUCCCAGAGCCUUCUCAAAGCAAGAUCAACUUGUUUGAGCCUUCCAGAGCUGCGAUCAUCUUUGAUGGAAGGUGCAUUGCACAGAGCUACUAACAGCGAGCAAGAGUGGCCUGUUGUGGAAGGGUUGGAAGGAAGGGCCUCAGCUGCAACUACGUGACAUGAACAGACUGAUCAAAUAGGAGAUAUUAUCUGCUAACUUGUUUCCUGUCAAAGAGUCAAAGAAAAUGCCUCCUUAAUGCAAAAACCUCAAGAUUACGGACAAGACUUGAAAGACAAGAAAAGAAAGAAGAGUACAUGCUCCACAUUCAGCAAUGCACUGUGUGUUUUGAAAUGCCUAACAGGAAUAUCUGAGCUGUGCUCUCUCAUACUGGGUUUCUCGUAGGGAAAUGUUUGCUUCCAGGGGAACAUGUGGCCAAGAUUCAUGUUCUCCAGCCCAGCUCCUGCCAUGGUCCCUUGGGGCACGAGGGAUGUCCCAGGGUGCUCCUGGAAGGCUUUGGGGACUAAAGGACUCCCCCCACACCUUUGAGCCCACCAGCACUGAGUUACAGGGGUUGUGCAGUGGUUUGCAUUCACAAAGCAAGCACUCUCUAGACUAUGGUUUUUUUUUGGAAAGACGAGGGUAUGUCUAUUCUGUUGCCAGAUACUAGAAAGGAGGACUUUUUCCAGAUGUGCACGAAGAAACACCUAGCAGUCGGACCCCUAAAUACAGAAGCUAACGAUCUGCUCCGGUUCCAGCAAGGCUUAACAGACUGUGCUGAAUGGGAAAUCAGGCCAGAUAACUAUGAUCAGACUGUUCUCUUCAUUAUUCUUCUUAUUCAUUAUUUUGAAUGAAUGAAUGAUUAUGUAUGAUUUGUAUAUUCAUUUACUCAUCAUAAAUCGUUUAAGCC
Cygnus olor (mute swan) is the source of this 952-nucleotide long non-coding RNA. RefSeq lists it as uncharacterized. NCBI's taxonomy places the organism in Eukaryota, Metazoa, Chordata, Aves, Anseriformes, Anatidae. The record is from RefSeq and is a predicted model, not a curated record. The transcript has 3 exons.